UACAGAGGGUGCAAGCGUUGUUCGGAAUUAUUGGGCGUAAAGGGCGCGUAGGCGGUGCCACAAGUCACCUGUGAAAUCUCCGGGCUUAACUCGGAGCCUGCAGGCGAAACUGUGGUGCUGGAGUGUGGGAGAGGGGGGUGGAAUUCCGCGUGUAGCAGUGAAAUGCGUAGAGAUGUGGAGGAACACCGAUGGCGAAGGCAGCCCCCUGGGCCAAUACUGACGCUCAUGCACGAAAGCGUGGGGAGCAAACAGG
Molecule: ribosomal RNA, 253 nt
Filed under: uncultured bacterium
Lineage: Bacteria
Description: partial 16S ribosomal RNA
Rfam family: Bacterial small subunit ribosomal RNA
Source: RNAcentral